RNAcentral lists this ribosomal RNA (441 nucleotides) under uncultured bacterium. RNAcentral describes it as "partial 16S ribosomal RNA". It matches the Rfam family "Bacterial small subunit ribosomal RNA", at positions 338 to 795 of the family's 1533-position model. The record is from RNAcentral.
CCUACGGGUGGCAGCAGUCGGGAAUAUUGCGCAAUGGAGGAAACUCUGACGCAGUGACGCCGCGUAUAGGAAGAAGGUUUUCGGAUUGUAAACUAUUGUCGUUAGGGAAGAUAAAAGACUGUACCUAAGGAGGAAGCACCGGCUAACUAGGUGCCAGCAGCCGCGGUAAUACCUAGGGGGCAAGCGUUAUCCGGAAUUAUUGGGUGUAAAGGGUGCGUAGGCGGAAGAACAAGUUGGUGGUGAAAUCCCUCGGCUCAACUGAGGAACUGCAACCAAAACUAUUAACCUUGAGUGUGGGGGAGGAAAGUGGAAUGCCUGGUGUAGCGGUGAAAUGCGUAGAUAUUAGGAAGAACACCAGUGGCGAAGGCGACUUUCUGGACGAUAACUGACGUUGAGGCACGAAAGUGUGGGGAGCAAACAGGAUUAGAUACCCCAGUAGUC